This 443-nucleotide ribosomal RNA is filed under the name uncultured bacterium. RNAcentral's name for it is "partial 16S ribosomal RNA". It matches the Rfam family "Bacterial small subunit ribosomal RNA", at positions 338 to 795 of the family's 1533-position model. The record is from RNAcentral.
CCUACGGGAGGCAGCAGUGGGGAAUAUUGGGCAAUGGGCGCAAGCCUGACCCAGCAACGCCGCGUGAAGGCAGGAGGCUUUCGGGUUGUAAACUUCUUUUCUCAGGGAAGAAGAAGGUGCAGGUUCAUGAGGCAUCAGCCACGGCUAACUACGUGCCAGCAGCCUCGGUAAUACGUAGGUGGAACUCGGUCACCGGAUUUAUUGGGUGUAAAGGGCGUGUUGGAGGGAGCGCAAGUCCGAUGUGAAACCCCAGGGCUCAACCCUGAGCCUGAAUUUGAAACUGUGGUUCUUGAGUGCUGGAGAGGCAAUCGGAAUUCCGUGUGUAGCGGUGAAAUGCGUAGAUAUACGGAGGAACACCAGUGGCGAAGGCGGAUUGCUGGACAGUAACUGACGCUGAGGCGCGAAAGCGUGGGGAGCAAACAGGAUUAGAUACCCCAGUAGUA